Molecule: long non-coding RNA, 1645 nt
Organism: Musa acuminata AAA Group (dessert banana)
Lineage: Eukaryota; Viridiplantae; Streptophyta; Magnoliopsida; Zingiberales; Musaceae
Exons: 3
Source: RefSeq, a predicted model, not a curated record
CAACAUUGCUCUCGCCUCCUCUUCGAUUCUCCUCUCCAGCUUCUUCCGUUCAUCAAAUACUUCCUUUUUCUCAUCUUUAACUCACAAUAUCUGACCGUUUUAGUUGAGGAAAGCUUGGGGUCCGAAAAGGGUUGGAUUUUACCCCAAAAUAUAUCUUCUCGGAGAAAAUUUCAAAGAAGGCGGGAGGUUUGGAGUUGUCUUCUUGUCUAUCUUCCGGAUUUCAGUUGGUAUUCCAUAGAUUUGUAGUUAUCUACCCCGCAUUGGGAGGAUCUUCAUGCAAACUGGCUGCCCUUAAUCGAUUUCUUGAUGUAGGGUGAUAUUCUAUUUGCUGCAUGAAUCAUAUCUAUGCAAUCCAAAUGUGGCUAGUUAAGAAAAUGAUUUCUAUGGAUUUGAUAUUGAUCUUAAUUGAAAACUUCGAAUCUUCAUUCAAUUGGUGAGAUUUAGAGUAUGCUGCACAUAUUGCAUUAUCUAGCAGAAAUCUGGAAUACAGUAUUAAAUAUGGAUUAGGUAAAUGAUGGUAUGCAAAAUUGUCCAGGAUGUCAUACUGUCUUUUACAUUGGCAUAGAGCAAAGGGCAGUGUUGACUCUGAACAUGUGUCUCAACUACCAUCCUGGUCUGCUUUUAUGUUUAAAAUGAAAUUAAUGAACAUAUUUAGCAUAUUUAGCGAUCUUUGGAAAGUUCUGUAACUUCAGGUUUUCUGCAAAUUGAAUGUGUUUUCUGGGAUGACCAGCCAACAAUCAAAAUCUGGUGAUCUCAGUUGAUUUCCUGAAUCUAUUCCUUGUUUUAUGGAUGGGAAUACAAGUAAAAAACAGUAAUGCUGCCACCAUUGUUAACUGAUAUUGGUGGGUCAGUUGCUCGGUUAUACCAGAUGCAGGCUAUUCUUUAGCAAGAUGUCUUUAGCAAGAUGUCUUUACAAUUAUUGGACCAUAAUGUCUUUAGCAAGAUGCAGUCUAUUCUUCCUAAUUUACAUAAAGAAAGAGGCUUCAAGCUUGUUCGAAAUCUUGCGUCAGUUGUAAAAUGCAUACAGGAAAGCUCAAGAUCCAUUUGAUUCUCUUUAUUAAGUUUUAGAUUAAUAUGAGAACCAAUUAUGUAGAUGUCACUGGCUGUUUUUUGUAUAGUGUUAACUAUCAUUCUAUGGUGAUAUCAAACUUAUGGUUCGAAUGAUCUUUAUGUUUUCUGUGCCUUCAAGGGAUUAAAAAGGCAGCACUGUGGAAAGAAACUCGAUGUGUGAGAAAGAGAGAUGCAAUUCCAUGACUUGGAGGAUAAUUAUUUCAAGUGCCAAUUUACCAUGACAGAUGAUCAGUAGCUGAAAACCUAUGCACAGACUUCGAAAGACAAUAAAAACAAUCGAAAAGGCACUUGUUCAACCAGCUUCUUCAAUAGCCCAAAAAUUAUGGGUUUCAUGAUUCAGUUGUUCUGGAAAAGCUUCUUGCCAAUAAAUGAAUCAAUGUCUUAAUAACUCAAGCUGUCAAAGUGGAGAAGUGGAGAAAAGAAGGUAGAUUACUUGUUUUGAAAUGAUAUAAACCUUGCAAUUCCAUCACUCAGAACUCAAUAUUGCCAAACUGAAAAUUCGAACUGUCUGGCUUGCUGAUUACUUGGGGAUGACAAUGUAUGAUGAUGAUUAAAAAAGCAUUGAAAUAUGAAA